RNAcentral lists this ribosomal RNA (463 nucleotides) under uncultured Desulfobulbus sp. RNAcentral's name for it is "bacterial SSU rRNA". It matches the Rfam family "Bacterial small subunit ribosomal RNA", at positions 922 to 1382 of the family's 1533-position model. The record is from RNAcentral. Lineage: Bacteria; Pseudomonadati; Thermodesulfobacteriota; Desulfobulbia; Desulfobulbales; Desulfobulbaceae.
CGACAAGCGGUGGAGUAUGUGGUUAAUUCGAUGCAACGCGAAGAACCUUACCUGGUCUUGACAUCCCGGAGACCCUUAGGAAACUAGGGGUGCUUCCAUCUGGAAGAAUCUGGAGACAGGUACUGCAUGGCUGUCGUCAGCUCGUGUCGUGAGAUGUUGGGUUAAGUCCCGCAACGAGCGCAACCCUUGCCUUUAGUUGCCAGCAGUUCGGCUGGGCACUCUAAAGGGACUGCCGGUGUUAAACCGGAGGAAGGUGGGGAUGACGUCAAGUCCUCAUGGCCUUUAUGACCAGGGCUACACACGUACUACAAUGGCCGAUACAAAGGGCAGCGACACUGCGAGGUGAAGCCAAUCCCGUAAAAUCGGUCUCAGUCCGGAUUGGAGUCUGCAACUCGACUCCAUGAAGUUGGAAUCGCUAGUAAUCGUGGAUCAGCAUGCCACGGUGAAUACGUUCCCGGGCCUU